RNAcentral lists this ribosomal RNA (64 nucleotides) under Kodamaea ohmeri. RNAcentral's name for it is "partial 28S ribosomal RNA". It matches the Rfam family "Eukaryotic large subunit ribosomal RNA", at positions 1 to 61 of the family's 3401-position model. Lineage: Eukaryota; Fungi; Ascomycota; Pichiomycetes; Serinales; Debaryomycetaceae. The record is from RNAcentral.
UUUUUUCCUCAAAUCAAGUAGGACUACCCGCUGAACUUAAGCAUAUCAAUAAGCGGAGAAAAAA